AGCCACACGCGCAGCACAUGGACGCUUCCAGUCUGGGGGUCGAAUCACAGCUGCAAGUGCCGGCCACAGCCACAGCCACAGCAGCACUGCACCUAACCUGCAUGUGUGACCCACACCGCAGCCCGCAAUAAUGCCGGGUCCUUAACCCACGGGGUGAGGCCAGGGAUGGACCUGCAUCCUCACAGAUACUAGCAGGGUUUUUAACCGACUGAGCCACAUUUAAACUUUUCUGGCAGAUUUUCCCCGAGAGUUCUAACCCACACGUUGACAGUCACUCGGGGCUUUUAUCUGCAAAAAGCUCAGGGCACUCAAUUCACCAGUUCGUCCACUCACAGGUGGCGUCCACCCUCACGCCACCUUGUCCCUCCAGCGCAGACCUCGACUACACGUCACUCUUCCGACGGCUGUCGGGGAAGAACCGGGGUCUGCGAGGCCCAACCGCAGUUACCGGUUUUUCUGGGCAGCGAUGACUAAUUGGGAGGCCGACAGUGCAGUUUUAGUCUUUCUUACGGGCCUCCCAAAGAACGAUGAGAGAUUUCCUUUAUUUUUUUUUUGUAAAUAGAGAAAACAUUUCGUCUUGCAACUGCUACAUGGGUCCACCAGACCCCCAUGUCUAAGACCCAAGACGUCUCUAAGCAUCUCGCUUCUCCUGCAUCAUGAUGCGCUUCCAUCACCAUAAGCACUGUCUUGCCACACGCAAGUGUUCCCAACUGGGCCAACAACGACUUCAGUCACAAGGGGGCGGCAGCACCAGGGAACCACCCGGGAGGAUGGGGGCGCUUCGCCUCUGCUUUCUAACUGACGGGAGAGCCUCUCUCUGCAGCCAGCUCUCUGUACGGCCGUUCGUUAAGAAUUCCUCGCUUUCCUCCCAAAUGACAGAACAAAGUCGGCAGCGAGGACUCUGCACAAUCAUCAGAUGAAUCCAGAGGAGAACCCAAGGAGGCCGCCGUCAGGGCCAGGGUGCCAGCGAGGCCGAGGGUGAAAGUGACGCCGCAGACGCCAAGCUCUCACAGGACACACCUGCAUCGGUCUCCCCGCAACCGGGCAUCCGUGAGUGAACGGUUCAUCUGAGGACAAGCAGAAAUGAGAGGGCUGUCCACACGGACGCCACGGGAGAAACGGUCCCGCGAAUAACUUAACGCCCCAAACUGCAAGAUUAGAUGAAAGGACAAAUUCCAAGAGAAAGCACAACUGAGGAGUCUGCUAAGCCGACGUCAGCGAGUCGGCUCUGUCAUUAGGGUCUUUCCACAAAGGCUGCUUCAGUCCCCGACAGCUACACCGUCUUCCACCAGUGAGAACGGAGGACACGCCUCAGCGCGUCACCUGCCCCAGCACAACCUCGCGCCUUUGCCGUAUCAACUGCGUGAACCCUGUGACUUUUCUCUUUGAAGAGGAAACGAAUCACACUCAUUUUUUCUUUAAUGGUGAACCUAUCCUGUACUUCACCAACAUACACUCCACUCACAGCCACCACACUGUUAAGACAGAAGACAACAUCAACACCAAUGAUGACGGCUUACAGAACAAGUAAACCUUUCCUACGCCGCCGCCGAAAAUAUAAACUCAGCUGUUUUAAAACACAGCUCAACAGAUCACGCUGAACAUGUACCUACACACUGACCCGGCCGCUAAACACCUAAUUACAGCCCCAAAGAUACAUGGUGUGGGAAUGUUUACAAACAAGCCAACCAAGGUACACUCAUGCAGCAAAACACUAUACAACAACGAAGACCAAUGAACUAUAGCCUUUACCAUGGAUGAAUCACUAAACAAGAUGCUGGAUACGAAGGCCCAGACUCAGGACGUGUACGCUGGAUUAGUCUAUUUAUAGAACACUCAAAGCCAGCAAAGCUAACCUACUGCUCUAAAGGUGAAGGUGGGAGCCCCUGGUGAGGCCCAGCACUAACAAACCCAGCUAGAAUCCACGAGGACAAGGGUUCGAUCCCUGGCCUUGCUCAGUGGGUUAAGCAUCCAGUGAUGCAGUGAGCUGUGGUGUAGGUGGUAGAUGCAGCUCAGAUCCCGUGUCGCUAUGGCUGUGGUGGAGGCCAGCAGCUGCGGCUGCAGCUCCAAUUCGUCCCCUAGCCUGGGAACCUCCAUAUGCCACAGGUGUGGCCCUAAGAGAAUAAAUAAAUAAAUAACAUGAAAGUCAAGGUGCUCCAUACACAGAAAGUAACUUGAGAUGGAUCACAGACUUAAACAUAGAAACCAGACCAUAAAGUUUCAAGAAGACACAGGAGAGUAUUUCACGACCUCAAGGCGAGGAGAGACCUCCUGGACAGGAAUGGAAAUCACUACCCACAGGAAAAAGUGCUACAUUCAACAACAAAGUUAAGAGCAUCCGUUUAUCCAAGACACCAUUAAGAAACUAGGCAAAGAGCCCACUGCAGCACAGUGGGUUAAAGACCUGGCAUUACCGCAGCUAUGGUGUAGGUGUCAGCUGCAGCUCAGAUUCAAACCCUGGC
This 2462-nucleotide long non-coding RNA is filed under the name Sus scrofa (pig). RNAcentral's name for it is "lncRNA (ENSSSCG00000062123.1)". Lineage: Eukaryota; Metazoa; Chordata; Mammalia; Artiodactyla; Suidae. The record is from RNAcentral.